Molecule: long non-coding RNA, 336 nt
Filed under: Citrus sinensis (sweet orange)
Lineage: Eukaryota; Viridiplantae; Streptophyta; Magnoliopsida; Sapindales; Rutaceae
Description: long non-coding RNA (CSIN_LNC004481)
Source: RNAcentral
GGAGUAAGGCUGAACGUUGACACCCCACUGGGUGGGGUCCAAAUGGAAAGUGUGUAAAGCUCUCGACCGGCAGAGAUUCUCGAUCUCGUCGAUGAAUUCGUUGCCUCCGUAGUAACGGUUGCCGGGCAUUCCCUCUGAGUAUUUGUUGGUGAGGGCGCUGCCGAGGGCUUCGAUAACGGCGAAGGAGGUGAAGUUCUCGGAGGCGAUGAGCUCGAUGCCGCGGCAUUGUCGGCGCUUCUCUUUCUCGAUCAGGUCGUGAAUUUCUGGGUCCACGGUUUCAAGAGAUGAGUUGCCCCACUCGUUCACUGGAUCCAUUUUUUCUUUUUUUCCGUUUUC